AGGAUAAACGCUGGCGGCGUGCUUCAGGCAUGCAAGUCGAACGGACACUUCGGUGUCAGUGGCGGACGGGUGAGUAACACGUAAGUAACCUGCCCAGAAGUGGGGAAUAACUAGCCGAAAGGCUGGCUAAUACCGCAUGUGAUGUUUGCCCCCUGGGGCAUUCAUGAAAGGCGAAAGUCGCUUCUGGAGGGGCUUGCGGCCGAUUAGCUAGUUGGUGGGGUAAUGGCCUACCAAGGCUUCGAUCGGUAGCUGGUCUGAGAGGACGGACAGCCACACGGGGACUGAGAUACGGCCCCGACUCCUACGGGAGGCAGCAGCUAGGAAUCUUGGGAAUGGGCGAAAGCCUGACCCAGCAACGCCGCGUGGGCGAUGAAGGCCUUCGGGUCGUAAAGCCCUUUUGCAGGGGAAGAUGAUGACGGUACCCUGCGAAUAAGCCACGGCUAACUACGUGCCAGCAGCCGC
This 462-nucleotide ribosomal RNA is filed under the name uncultured bacterium. RNAcentral's name for it is "SSU rRNA". It matches the Rfam family "Bacterial small subunit ribosomal RNA", at positions 26 to 518 of the family's 1533-position model. The record is from RNAcentral.